GCCAGACUCCUACGGGAGGCAGCAGUGGGGAAUAUUGCACAAUGGGGGGAACCCUGAUGCAGCAACGCCGCGUGGGUGAAGAAGUACUCCGGUAUGUAAAGCCCUGUCAGCAGGGAAGAAAAUGACGGUACCUGACCAAGAAGCCCCGGCUAACUACGUGCCAGCAGCCGCGGUAAUACGUAGGGGGCGAGCGUUAUCCGGAUUCACUGGGUGUAAAGGGAGCGUAGACGGCCAAGCAAGCCAGGGGUGAAAGCCCGGGGCCCAACCCCGGGACUGCCCUUGGAACUGCAUGGCUGGAGUGCGGGAGGGGCAGGCGGAAUUCCUGGUGUAGCGGUGAAAUGCGUAGAUAUCAGGAGGAACACCGGCGGCGAAGGCGGCCUGCUGGACCGCGACUGACGUUGAGGCUCGAAAGCGUGGGGAGCGAACAGGAUUAGAUACCCGAGUAA
This 446-nucleotide ribosomal RNA is filed under the name uncultured bacterium. RNAcentral's name for it is "bacterial SSU rRNA". It matches the Rfam family "Bacterial small subunit ribosomal RNA", at positions 330 to 793 of the family's 1533-position model. The record is from RNAcentral.